This 82-nucleotide small RNA is filed under the name Rhodanobacter sp. ANJX3. RNAcentral's name for it is "sRNA P9". It matches the Rfam family "Pseudomonas sRNA P9". Rfam says of the family: P9 appears to be conserved in several Pseudomonas species in addition to Bordetella spp. The record is from RNAcentral. Lineage: Bacteria; Pseudomonadati; Pseudomonadota; Gammaproteobacteria; Lysobacterales; Rhodanobacteraceae. RNAcentral also lists the same sequence under 1 other name.
CUGAUUAUUCGCAGCCCACAAAAUAAGGUGGGUUAGCGCGCGUGCUGCGCAGCUAAAACAACCCGCCCUGGAGGCGGGUUGU